AAUCCAUAGGUUAAUGAGGCGAACCGGGGGAACUGAAACAUCUAAGUACCCCGAGGAAAAGAAAUCAACCGAGAUUCCCCCAGUAGCGGCGAGCGAACGGGGAGGAGCCCAGAGCCUGAAUCAGCAUGUGUGUUAGUGGAAGCGUCUGGAAAGGCGCGCGAUACAGGGUGACAGCCCCGUACACAAAAGCGCAUGUGCUGUGAGCUCGAUGAGUAGGGCGGGACACGUGGUAUCCUGUCUGAAUAUGGGGGGACCAUCCUCCAAGGCUAAAUACUCCUGACUGACCGAUAGUGAACCAGUACCGUGAGGGAAAGGCGAAAAGAACCCCGGCGAGGGGAGUGAAAAAGAACCUGAAACCGUGUACGUACAAGCAGUGGGAGCACCUUCGGGUGUGAC
This 396-nucleotide ribosomal RNA is filed under the name Salmonella enterica subsp. enterica serovar Augustenborg. RNAcentral's name for it is "partial 23S ribosomal RNA". It matches the Rfam family "Bacterial large subunit ribosomal RNA", at positions 161 to 597 of the family's 2925-position model. The record is from RNAcentral. Lineage: Bacteria; Pseudomonadati; Pseudomonadota; Gammaproteobacteria; Enterobacterales; Enterobacteriaceae.